Molecule: long non-coding RNA, 735 nt
Filed under: Hordeum vulgare
Lineage: Eukaryota; Viridiplantae; Streptophyta; Magnoliopsida; Poales; Poaceae
Description: long non-coding RNA (HVUL_LNC019461)
Source: RNAcentral
CGUCGCCAUGUCUUCCAGCGAGGUCGCCUGCACCCUUGCCGCCCUCAUCCUCCACGAUGACGGGAUCCCCAUCACUGUAAGUUAUUCGUCUUGGUUUCUUCUCCGUUGUACGUUCCCUGGUUGGUUUUCGUUGUCUGAGUGUUUGGUUGCUUGGCCGUAUGCAGUCUGAGAAGAUCGCGACGGUGGUGAAGGCUGCCGGGAUCAAGGUUGAGGCCUACUGGCCAGCGCUCUUCGCCAAGCUCCUGGAGAAGAGGAGCGUCGAUGACCUCAUCCUCUCCGUCGGAUCUGGUAAACCUCUCCCGCUCUCACUGUUCUAUUCUUCUGCAGUUUAUACAAGGCUUUGAUUCAUUGCGCUGUUGUGAACUUCGUCGUAAAUGUUUCAUAAUGUUGCCACUGCCUGUAAUUUAUGUAACGUACUUUGAUCCGCUGCUUGAUUAGUCUGUGCAACUGGAGAAUUCAUCACUUAACUUUAUGUUAGUAAGCUUGAAUUGGAGGAUGAUCUUCUUAGUCAGACUUGUAGAUAUGCCUAUUUAGCGGUUAUGUAUUCUGAAUUUAAUUUCACGUGUAAAUUAAUAGCCAUUCCUGUUUGACCAAUCUGCGCAUUGUAAUAGUAGAGAAUGCUAUUCGGGAUGAUUGUAAUUUAUCAUGAGCAGAAGCAACAGUCGCUCUAUGCUUUGUUUUAUCUUCACUGCUGCCUUUGUCAAUGUAGUAAUGUUUCUAUUCGUUUCCAGGUGG